Molecule: RNA transcript, 11998 nt
Organism: Juglans regia (Persian walnut)
Lineage: Eukaryota; Viridiplantae; Streptophyta; Magnoliopsida; Fagales; Juglandaceae
Gene name: E3 ubiquitin-protein ligase UPL1-like
Exons: 16
Source: RefSeq, a predicted model, not a curated record
UAGAGAACACUUGGUUUCUCAGCAGGAAUUCUUCUCCAACUCUCUCCCUCUCUUUUGAUCCCAUCAAAACCCUAAUCCCUGUCUGCAAAAUCCUCGAAUUGUCUACGUUUUUGUUCCGGUUCUAGCUGAUUAUUCGUCGUAAUGAUAGCCGCAGGAUCCAAUUCUCGUGAAUAGUACAGAAAACCCUACGUUUUUUUAACACUAUACAGUCUUUGAUUAUCCGGUCGAUUCUCCUUUUCUUGGGGGGAUUUGAUCGGUUUCUCGAAGCGGGUUGGAUUCGUGAAAUGCUUUCAAUUCCAAGAUGAAGUUGAAGCGAAGGAGGGCACUAGAAGUGCCUCCAAGAAUUAGAUCCUUCAUCGAUAGUGUUACCGCUGUUCCACUCGAGGAUAUUGAAGAACCCCUCAAAAGUUUCAUUUGGGAGUUUGAUAAGGGAGACUUCCAUCAUUGGGUGGAUCUUUUUAAUCAUUUUGAUUCAGUUUUUGAGAAGCACAUAAAAUCAAGGAAGGAUUUGCAGGUUGAGGAUAAUUUUCUGGACUCUGAUCCUCCUUUCCCAAAAGAAGCUGUUGUUCAAAUUCUUCGUGUUAUAAGAAUAAUUUUGGAGAAUUGCACAAAUAAGCACUUCUAUAGUUCUUAUGAGCAGCAUCUUUGUUUACUGCUUGCUUCCACUGAUCCGGAUGUUGUUGAGGCAUGCCUACAGACUUUGGCUGCUUUUUUGAAAAAAACAAUUGGCAAAUACUCCAUUAGAGAUGCUUCUAUGAGCUCAAAGUUAUUUGCUCUUGCACAAGGUUGGGGUGGAAAGGAAGAGGGGCUUGGGUUGAUUGCGACUGCUGUACAGGAUGGUUGUGACCCUAUUGCCUAUGAGUUGGGUUGCACCAUGCAUUUUGAAUUCUAUGCUUCCAGUGAGUUGUCCUGCGAACUCCCUGCUGCAGAACAUUCAAUGCAGGGUUUACAAAUCAUUCAUCUACCUGACAUCAAUAGUCGCCUAGAGACUGAUCUAGAGCUCUUAAGCAAUUUAGUUGCAGAAUACAAAGUACCCACCAGUUUAAGAUUUUCUCUAUUGACAAGAUUGCGGUUUGCAAGGGCUUUUGGCUCUUUAGCUUCUCGGCAGCAGUAUACCUGCAUCCGUUUGUAUGCCUUCAUAGUUCUUGUUCAAGCAAGUGGUGAUGCAGAUGACCUAGUAUCUUUCUUUAACACCGAGCCUGAGUUUGUCAAUGAGUUAGUGUCAUUGUUAAGCUAUGAAGAUGCAGUUCCUGAGAAGAUUCGAAUUCUAUGCCUGCUUUCUUUGGUUGCUCUUUGUCAAGAUAGGUCUCGUCAGCCUUCUGUGUUGACUGUUGUCACAUCUGGUGGUCACCGUGGAAUCCUAUCCAGCCUAAUGCAAAAGGCCAUUGACUCCGUUAUUAGUGAUGCCUCGAAGUGGUCUGUAGUUUUUGCUGAGGCACUGUUAUCCCUUGUCACUGUUUUGGUUUCAUCUUCUUCAGGUUGCUCAGCCAUGCGUGAAGCAGGAUUUAUUCCUACUCUUCUACCCCUCCUUAAAGAUACAAAUCCGCAACACUUGCAUUUGGUAAGCACAGCUGUGCACAUUCUAGAAGCUUUUAUGGAUUACAGCAAUCCAGCUGCUGCAUUGUUCAGAGACUUGGGUGGUUUGGAUGAUACCAUCUCUCGUCUGAAGGUGGAAGUGUCACGCAUAGAAAAUGGUUCAAAGCAACCAGGUGAAAGUUCUGAUUGUGGUGCGAGGAGUAAGCAAGUGGUUGCAGGUGCCUCCAAUCAGCUAGAUGAUAUGCAGCCUCUGUAUUCUGAAGCAUUAGUUUCGUAUCACAGGCGAUUGCUGACAAAAGCUUUACUGCGUGCUAUAUCCCUUGGAACUUAUGCCCCUGGAAAUACCACACGUGUUUAUAGCUCAGAGGAGAGUUUGCCUUGUUGCUUACGCAUAAUUUUUCAAAGGGCAAAAGAUUUUGGUGGUGGGGUGUUUUCACUUGCAGCUACUGUCAUGAGUGAUUUGAUUCACAAAGAUCCCACUUGUUUUCCUGUCUUAGAUGCAGCUGGUCUUCCUUCUGCCUUCUUGGAUGCUAUAAUGGAUGGUGUUCUAUGCUCAUCUGAUGCCAUAACAUGCAUACCUCAGUGUUUGGAUGCUUUGUGCCUAAACAAUAAUGGCCUUCAGUCCGUUAAAGAUCGCAAUGCUUUGAGGUGUUUCGUGAAAAUAUUUACUUCAAGAAUGUAUUUGCGUGCCCUCACUAGUGACACCUCUGUAUCCUUGUCUAGUGGACUGGAUGAACUAAUGCGCCAUGCUUCUUCAUUGCGCGGGCCUGGAGUGGAUAUGUUGAUUGAGAUCUUGAAUGCCAUAUUGAGAAUUGGAUCUGGGGUUGAUGCUUCUCACUUGUCAACUGAUCCUUCAUGCUCUUCUACUCCUGUUCCCAUGGAAACUGAUGGUGAAGAGAGGAACUUGGUUCUUUCAGAUGAUAGGGAAAUAUCCAAGAUAGAUAAUUCAGACCAGACCACCGAGCCAUCUGCUGAUUCCUCAAUAGUUAAUAUUGAGUCAUUCCUGUCUGACUGUGUGAGCAAUGUUGCUCGACUUCUGGAAACAAUACUGCAGAAUGCCGAUACAUGUCGUAUAUUUGUAGAGAAGAAGGGGAUUGAAGCUGUUCUGCAGUUAUUUACUUUGCCUUUAAUGCCUCUGGCAGUGUCUGUUGGUCAGAAUAUCUCCGUUGCCUUUAAGAACUUCUCACCACAGCAUUCAGCUUCUCUUGCUCGGGAAGUAUGCUCAUUUCUGAGGGAGCAUCUGAAAUCAACAAAUGAAUUCCUAGCUUCAGUUGGAGGGACUCAGCUUGCCAUAGUUGAAUCUGCAUUGCAAAAUAAGGUUUUGAGAUAUCUUUGCAGUCUUGAAGGCAUUCUGUCCCUAUCUAAUUUUUUGCUGAAGGGGACUACUAGUGUGGUCUCAGAGCUUGGCACUGCAGAUGCUGAUGUAUUGAGAGAUCUUGGGAGCGCAUACAGGGAAAUAAUCUGGCAAAUUUCUUUAUGUAAUGACUCCAAGGUGGAUGAGAAGAAGAAUGCUGAUCAAGUACCUGAGAGUUCAGAGGCAGCUCCAUCUAAUGCUAUUGGAAGAGAGAGUGAUGAUGAUUUAAACAUUCCAGUGGUGAGAUACAUGAACCCUGUUUCCCUCAGGAAUGGUUCUCAAUCUCUAUGGGCUGGUGACAGGGAUUUUCUAUCAGUUGUUCGUUCUGGUGAAGGUUUGCACCGUCGUAGUCGACAUGGGUUGACACGCAUUCGGGGAAGAACAGGCAGGCAUCUGGAGGCUUUGAACAUUGAUUCUGAAGUUCCGUCUAAUGUACCGGAGACAUCUUCCCAAGACUUGAAAAAGAAAAGUCCCGAUGUUCUUGUUUUGGAAAUUCUUAACAAGCUUGCUUCAACGUUGCGCUCUUUCUUCACAGCUCUUGUCAAGGGAUUCACAUCACCAAACCGUCGUAGAGCUGACUCAGGGUCGUUGAGUUCUGCUUCAAAGGCUCUUGGAACUGGACUGGCUAAAGUUUUUUUUGAGGCUCUUAGUUUCUCUGGGAAUUCUACUUCUGUGGGGCUUGACAUGUCAUUAUCAGUGAAAUGUCGAUACCUUGGAAAGGUUGUGGAUGACAUGGCAUCAAUAACAUUUGACAGCAGGCGACGUACUUGUUAUACUGCAAUGGUCAAUAAUUUUUAUGUUCACGGUACCUUUAAGGAGCUACUGACAACAUUUGAAGCCACAAGUCAGUUGUUGUGGACAAUGCCACACUCUAUCCCCACAUCAGGUAUUGAGAAUGAAAAGGCGGGUGAAGUAAGUAAAUUGUCUCAUAGUGCAUGGCUACUUGAUACGUUACAGAGCUAUUGCCGGGUGCUUGAGUAUUUUGUUAAUUCUUCUUUACUACUACCUCCAAACUCUGCAUCCCAAGCACAGCUUCUUGUUCAGCCGGUUGCUGUUGGUCUUUCUAUUGGGCUAUUUCCGGUUCCAAGGGACCCUGAAGUAUUUGUCCGUAUGCUGCAAUCUCAGGUUCUUGAUGUUAUACUUCCUAUCUGGAACCACCCCAGGUUUCCUGGUUGUAGUCUGGGUUUCAUUGCUUCCAUUCUUUCACUUGUUACACAUGUGUACUCUGGUGUGGGAGAUGUGAAACAAAAUCGCAGUGGCAUUGCAGGGACUACCGGCCAGAGAUUCAUUCCCCCACCUCCUGAUGAAGCUACUAUUGCCACAAUUGUUGAGAUGGGUUUUACAAGAGCAAGAGCAGAGGAAGCACUAAGACGAGUGGAAACAAAUAGUGUUGAAAUGGCCAUGGAAUGGCUGUUUAGUCAUGCUGAGGAUCCUGUACAGGAGGAUGAUGAACUAGCUCGGGCACUUGCACUGUCCCUGGGAAGUUCAUCAGAAACAUCUAAAGUUGAUAAUGUUGACAAGUCAAUAGACGUACUGACGGAAAAUGGGCAGAUGAAGGCACCCCCUGUUGAUGAUAUUCUUGUGGCAUCAGUGAAACUAUUUCAGAGCAGUGAUACAUUGGCAUUUCCAUUAACAGAUUUGUUUGUUACGCUUUGCAAUCGGAACAAAGGAGAAGAUCGUCCAAGAGUGGCAUCUUAUCUUAUUCAGCAGCUGAAGCUUUGCCCUUUGGAUUUUUCAAAGGAUACUGGUGCACUGAGCAUGUUAUCACAUAUUAUAACAUUACUUCUGUUUGAGGAUGGAAAUACACGAGGAAUUGCUGCAGAGAGUGGUAUUGUACCUGCUGCAGUAGAUAUAUUGAUCAAUUUUAAGGCUAGAAAUGAGUCAGGAAACGAGCUUCUGGUCCCAAGGUGUAUUAGUGCUUUACUGCUUAUAUUGGAUAACAUGCUGCAGUCCCGUCCCAAAUUUUGUUCUGAAAGUAUGGAAGGAACUCCAGCAGGGUCUCUGCUGGAUUCGUCUGGAGAUCUUGCUUCCUUUUCAGUUCCUACAUCAGUUCAAGAGAAAAAGCCAGCUUCAAAUGCCCCUGUGAAAGACUCUGGUACAGCAUUUGAAAAAAUAUUGGGGAGGGCGACUGGAUAUUUGACUGCUGAAGAGAGUCAUAAGGUGCUGCUAGUUGUUUGUGACUUGAUAAAACAGCAUGUCCCAGCUGUGAUCAUGCAGGCUGUUCUACAAUUAUGUGCUCGGUUGACAAAAACACACUCUCUAGCUUUGCAGUUCCUUGAAAAUGGAGGUUUGGCUGCUCUUUUUAGUCUUCCAAGAAGUAGUUUUUUCCCUGGAUAUGACACUGUUGCAUCUGCUAUUGUGAGACAUCUCCUUGAAGAUCCUCAAACACUGCAAACAGCUAUGGAAUUAGAGAUACGACAAACUUUGACUGGAAACGGGCAUGCUGGGCGUGUGUCUGUGCGGACUUUUUUGACAUCAAUGGCACCUGUUAUCUCCAGGGAUCCUGUGGUUUUCAUGAAAGCCUGUGGUGCUGUUUGCCAGUUGGAGACAUCUGCAGGUAGGACCUUUGUUGUGUUAUCUAAGGAAAAAGAGAAGGAAAAGGACAAAUCAAAGACAUCUUUUGUUGAAGCUGGAUUAUCUUCCAAUGAAUGUGUCCGGAUUUCUGAAAAUAAAAUUCAUGAUGGAUCAGGGAAAUGCUCUAAGGGCCACAAAAAGAUCCCUGCCAAUCUCACUCAAGUAAUGGAUCAACUUCUUGAUAUAGUCUUAAAAUACCCUUCAGCGAAAAGCCAUGAAGGUAAUGUGAAUAACUUAUCUUCUAUGGAGGUUGAUGAACCUGCUACAAAGGUGAAGGGUAAAUCGAAGGUUGAUGAGACAAUGAAAUUAGAGUCCGAUUCCGAAAGAUCUGCAGGACUUGCUAAGGUGACUUUUGUCCUCAAGUUAUUAAGUGACAUUCUUCUGAUGUAUGUACAUGCAGUUGGAGUUAUACUUAAGCGGGAUCUGGAAUUGUGUCAACUCCGGGGAUCUAAUCCUCUGGAUGGUCCUGGAAAUGAGGGGGGAGUAAUUCAUCAUAUUUUACAUCGGUUACUUCCACUUUCUAUUGAUAAAUCUGCAGGACCUGAUGAAUGGAGAGGCAAGUUGUCUGAAAAAGCUUCAUGGUUUAUGGUUGUUCUGUGUGGUCGAUCUAGUGAAGGUCGUAGGCGAGUAAUUGGUGAACUUGUGAAAUCCUUAUUCUCAUUUUCAAACUUAGAGAGCAAUUCUACCAAGAGCAUUUUAUUGCCAGAUAAGAAGGUCUGUGCUUUUGUUGAUUUGGUGUAUUCUAUUUUGUCAAAAAACUCAACAUCCAGUAACUUGCCUAGCAGUUCUGGAUGCUCACCUGACAUAGCAAAAAACAUGAUAGAUGGAGGAAUGGUUCAAUGCUUGACUAGCAUUCUUCAAGUGAUUGAUUUGGACCAUCCUGAUGCUCCUAAAAUUGUGAAUCUUAUACUUAAGGCCUUGGAAUGUUUAACGAGGGCUGCUAAUGCUAGUGAACAAAUUUUUAAAUCUGAUGGUACGAACAAAAAAAAACCCAUGGGUUUAAGUGGAAGACCUGAUGAUCAGUCAACUGCACCAUCAGCUGCUCAUACUGUGGAGCAUAAUCAAAAUACAAACAGACAAGAGGAAGCCAGAGUUGCAGAGGAGAAUGAACAACAGAAUCAAGGAGCUUCUCAAAAUGAAGGUAACCAUGAUGCGAAUCCUAAUGAGUCUGUAGAGCAAGAUAUGAGAAUAGAAGUGGAGGAUACAACGGUUACCAAUCCACCUGUGGAGCUUGGGAUAGAUUUUAUGCGUGAAGAGAUGGAAGAGGGUGGUGUUUUGCACAACACUGACCAAAUUGAUAUAAAUUUUCGUGUUGAGAACAGAGCUGAUGAAGAUAUGGGUGAUGAGGACGAUGACAUGGGUGAUGAUGAUGAGGAUGAUGAGGUUGAGGAUGAGGAUGAGGAUAUAGCGGAAGAUGGUGGGGGCAUGAUGUCUCUUGCUGAUACGGAUGUGGAAGACCAUGAUGAUGCGGGCUUGGGAGAUGACUAUAAUGAUGAGAUGAUUGAUGAAGAGGAUGAUGAUUUUCAUGAGAAUCGCGUCAUAGAGGUAAGAUGGAGGGAAGCCCUUGAUGGGUUAGAUCAUUUGCAGGUACUUGGGCAACCUGGGUCUGCAGGUGGUCUAAUUGAUGUUGCAGCUGAACCUUUCGAAGGAGUUAAUGUGGAUGACCUUUUUGGUCUUCGGAGGCCUUUAGGAUUUGAGCGCCGCCGUCAAACAGGUGGUAGGUCUUCCUUUGAGCGAUCUGUUGCAGAAGUGAAUGGUUUUCAGCAUCCCCUUCUUUUAAGACCAUCCCAGUCAGGGGACCUGGUUUCAAUGUGGUCAUCAGGUGGGAAUUCGUCCAGAGAUGUGGAAGCUCUGUCGUCUGGGAGUUUUGACAUUGCUCAUUUCUACAUGUUUGAUGCUCCUGUUCUUCCAUUUGAUAAUGUUCCAAGCAGUCUCUUUGGUGACCGUUUGGGUGGGGCAGCACCCCCACCUUUGACUGAUUAUUCUGUAGGCAUGGACUCCUUGCAGUUACCAGGACGAAGAGGCCCUGGUGAUGGUCGGUGGACUGAUGAUGGCCAGCCACAAGCUGGUGCUCAAGCUGCUGCUAUUGCACAGGCGGUAGAGGAACAUUUCAUUUCUCAAUUGCGCAGUGUAGCUCCUCCCAACGGUACUGAUGAAAGGCAGUCCCAAAAUUCUGAAGUGCAGGAGAAGCAACCAGAUGCCCCUCCAUCCAAUAGUGAUCCGGUAGCAGUGGAGGGUGCUAACACUAACAGUCAACAAAGCGAAGGGCAGCAUCAAGAAAAUGGUGAUGAAACCACGCUUAACCCCGUGGUUGAGAGUGUAACCUGUGGAGAGCAAGUUAAUUCAGAAUCCAUUCAUGCAGUUGAAUGUUUACAGGCACUUGAGCCUAUGCUGAUCCAACCAUUUUCACUUAACACCACACCAAAUGGGCAUGACAACAUGGAAAUUGGUGAAGGAAAUGGCAAUGCUGAUGAGCAGGUAGGGACAAUGCCAGAGUUUGUCAACUCAUCAACCGACUUUCAUGAUGAUUCACAAUGUGAUGGGGGUUCUGAAGCUCCUGCGAGUUUCCAUAAUGUGCUACUUCAGGCAUCCGAUUGUGAUGGAUCUUCAAGAACUGAUGAACAGGCCAGUAAUCAUGGUUUAGCAGUUUCUGGUUUGCCAAUGCCUAAUUCUGAAGAUUGUCAUGCAUCUCCCGUCCUCGCAAGUAUUGAUGUCGAUAUGAAUAAUAUUGAUGCUGGAGGAAAUCAAUCUGAGCAACCUGUGCUUGAUGUUACAGAUGAGCCUUUGUCAAGACAAAAUACCCUGGUUGCUCUUGACUCUAGUCUGGCUGAGCAGACUAGUAUGAAUAGUGAGGUGCCUGGUGCUAAUGCUAUUGAUCCCACCUUCUUGGACGCACUUCCUGAAGAUCUGCGGGCAGAAGUACUAGCUUCCCAGCAAGCUCAGCCUAUUCAGCCUCCGACUUAUGCACCGCCUUCUGCCGAAGAUAUUGAUCCUGAGUUUUUAGCUGCUCUUCCUCCUGAUAUUCAAGCAGAAGUUUUGGCCCAACAACAACAAGCUCAGAGGGUGUCACAGCAGGCUGAAGGACAACCAGUUGACAUGGAUAAUGCUUCAAUCAUUGCCACUUUUCCUGCUGAUUUGCGUGAAGAGGUACUUCUGACUUCAUCAGAAGCAGUUCUGUCUGCUUUGCCCUCUCCAUUACUCGCUGAAGCCCAAUUGUUAAGGGACCGAGUUAUGAGUCAUUAUCAAGCUCGCAGCCUUUUUGGAAGCAGCCACAGGCUAAAUAAUCGGAGGAAUGGGUUGGGUUUUGACAGACAGACCGUGAUGGACAGGGGUGUUGGAAUUACACUAGGCCGGAGGACAGCUUCCACCAUUGCAGAUGGCUUGAAGGUGAAGGAAAUUGAAGGUGAGCCACUUCUGGAUGUAAAUGCAUUGAAAGCUCUUGUCCGACUCCUACGAUUAGCUCAGCCCCUUGGCAAAGGUCUCUUGCAGAGACUCUUGUUAAACCUUUGUGCACAUAGUGUUACAAGAGCAAUACUAGUUCGUCUUUUGCUUGAUAUGAUAAAGCCUGAGGCUGAGGGCUCAGUCAGUGAAUUGGCAACAAUAAACUCCCAGAGGCUAUAUGGCUGUCAGUCAAAUGUUGUGUAUGGUCGGUCCCAGUUGUUGGAUGGUCUUCCUCCACUGGUCUUGCGUCGAACUUUUGAGAUUUUCACAUACUUGGCUACUAAUCAUUCUGCUGUUGCCAAUAUGUUAUUCUACUUUGAUCCUUCACUUGUUCCAGAGCAUCUGAGUCCAAUAUGUACAGAAGCCAAGAAGGAUAAAGGCAAGGAGAAAAUUGUGGAAGGACUUUCAUCAAUGCCUUUGUGGAGCUCUCUGGAUGGGGAUACUCCGUUGAUACUGUUCUUGAAGCUUUUGAAUCGACCACUUUUUCUGCGCAGCACUGCUCACCUCGAGCAGGUCAUGGGCCUUCUUCAAGCAGUUGUUUAUACUGCAGCAUCAAAAUUAGAGUACCAGCCGCAAUCUGAAGCGGCUACAGAAAAUCCCCAAGAUUUGCCAGGCAAUGAAGCUUCUGUUGAUGCCCAAAAAGAUCCUCCUUUAUCAGAACCAGAGUCUAAGCAAGAGGAUAGACAUGCUGGUGCUGAGUCAACGGCUUCAGAUGGAAAGAGGAGCAUUGAUAUGUAUAAUAUUUUUUUGCGAUUGCCCCAAUCUGAACUCCGAAAUCUGUGCAAUCUUCUUGGUCGUGAGGGGCUUUCAGAUAAAGUGUAUAUGCUUGCUGGUGAGGUGUUGAAGAAGUUGGCCUCAGUUGUUGCACCGCAUCGAAAGUUAUUUAUUUCAGAGCUUUCUGAAUCAGCCCAUGGAUUGAGCAGUUCUGCCGUCAAUGAGCUUGUCACUCUGCGGAAAACACACAUGCUGGGUUUGAGUGCUGGUUCCAUGGCUGGUGCAGCAAUCCUACGUGUGCUACAAGCACUCAGCUUACUCACUUCAUCUAGCGUUAAUGAGAGUACAGGAUUCAAGAAUGAUGGAGAGCAGGAGGAACAGGCUAUUAUGAAAAGGCUGAAUGUUGCACUUGAGCCCUUGUGGCAAGAGUUGAGUGAUUGCAUAAGUGUGACUGAGACACAGUUGGGUCAAAGCUCCUUCUCUCAGACUAUGUCAAAUAUAAAUGUUGGGGAGCGUGUCCAAGGCACGACGACUUCAUCUCCCCUUCCUCCUGGAACCCAGAGACUGUUGCCCUUCAUUGAGGCAUUCUUUGUUUUGUGCGAAAAGCUACAAGCAAACCAGUCCAUCACACAUCAAGAUCAUGCCAAUACAACUGCAAGGGAAGUCAACGAAUCUGCCAGGAGUUCUGCCUUUUUAAUCACAAAGUGCGGUGUGGAUUCUCAGAAGAAGUUUGAUGGUGGAGUUACAUUUACAAGGUUUGCUGAGAAGCAUCGCCGGCUAUUGAAUGCUUUUAUUCGACAGAACCCAGGUUUAUUAGAGAAAUCUCUUUCUAUGCUGCUGAAGGCACCAAGGCUAAUCGAUUUUGACAAUAAGCGAGCUUAUUUCCGUUCAAAAAUCCGGCAGCAGCCUGAACAGCACCAUUCUGGCCCAUUGAGGAUAAGUGUUCGGAGGGCUUAUGUUUUGGAGGACUCAUACAAUCAGUUGCGGAUGCGUCCCAGUCUGGACCUAAAGGGACGAUUGAAUGUGCAGUUUCAGGGUGAAGAGGGUAUUGAUGCUGGAGGUCUGACUAGAGAAUGGUAUCAAUUACUGUCAAGGGUUAUAUUUGACAAGGGGGCAUUGCUUUUCACUACUGUGGGAAACAAUGCAACGUUCCAGCCAAACCCCAAUUCUGUCUACCAGACAGAACAUCUUUCUUACUUCAAGUUUGUGGGCCGAGUGGUUGCAAAGGCACUGUUUGACGGGCAACUUUUGGAUGUUUAUUUUACUCGAUCAUUCUAUAAGCACAUACUUUAUGCCAAGGUGACUUACCAUGAUAUAGAGGCAGUUGAUCCUGAUUACUACAAGAAUUUGAAGUGGAUGUUAGAGAAUGAUGUGAAUGACAUUCUUGACCUGACAUUUAGCAUGGAUGCGGAUGAGGAAAAGCAUAUCCUUUAUGGGAAAAAUGAGGUUACUGAUUACGAGCUUAAACCUGGAGGAAGAAACAUAAGGGUUACAGAAGAGACAAAGCACGAGUAUGUUGACCUUGUUGCUGGACAUAUCUUGACAAAUGCCAUCCGUCCUCAAAUUGAUUCCUUUUUAGAGGGCUUCAAUGAAUUGGUAACUCAAGACCUUAUUUCUAUUUUUAAUGAUAAGGAGCUCGAGCUACUUAUAAGUGGACUUCCAGAGAUUGAUUUGGAUGAUUUGAAGGCCAACACAGAGUACACUGGCUAUACAGCAGCAUCUAUUGUUAUUCAAUGGUUUUGGGAGGUUGUUCAGGCUUUUAACAAGGAAGACAUGGCAAGACUGCUGCAAUUCGUCACUGGAACAUCGAAGGUCCCGUUGGAGGGUUUUAAGGCUUUACAAGGCAUCUCUGGCCCUCAAAGGUUUCAGAUUCACAAGGCAUAUGGAGCUCCCGAUCGGCUGCCCUCAGCUCAUACAUGCUUUAAUCAACUGGAUCUUCCCGAGUAUACCUCCAAGGAACAGCUUCAAGAACGCCUGCUACUUGCUAUCCAUGAAGCCAAUGAAGGGUUUGGCUUUGGCUGACCUGUGUUUUAUGUGGUGCGAUGGACCCGGCAGCGCUAGCAAUCUGCCUUCAAAGUUCCCAUAUAAAAGCGACUGGUCCAGCUUGACAAGAACAAUAAAAGUUCUGGAGAUUAAAAGACUUCAACCCAACAAAUCAAAAUUCAGCGGAUGAAAAUUAUAUGCUUUUGAGGAAUCGGGAGCUGUUGAGUUACAAUUGGCUAGAAAACGUUAUGUUUUUUGGAUUCUUGCCAUGUCAAUUGUCAUUGGUCAACUAGAGUAGAGAAGUGUGCAAAAUAUUAAUGCGCACAUAUUUCAUUGUUCAUAUUUUUGUUCUUAACAUUAUUUAGCAUUUGAGCUUUAUUAUCCUUUGCUGCCUUA